CUUGAACCCGCCACUGCCCACACACGGGCACGGGAGUGGCUCUUUCGUUCCCAGGCCUGGGGUUGCCAAAGGCGUGCAAACCCCGCUUGGAUUCCUGCAGCGGGGAUGAAUCGGUUCUAAGGGCAAAGUGAUAUCCCAAGAUCUCAGAGACGUUUAUCAAGACUUAGAAGAAAGCAAAAAGCCAGAAAAUCGUAACUGCUAACUCAGUUCAGGGGGUUGAAGGAGUAUUUUGUGGAGGAGCCAUUGUGGUGGAGUGCUGCCACAAGAACCUCCUUAAACCCUGCCUGGCCUGAGGAGUGUCAAGUCAGGGCCUUACUUUUCCUACCACCACCACCUCUGAAGACUGGCAGCCAUGGGGGAAAAGUCCCACACUUGCCCUUACUGUGGGAAAGGUUUCCGGCGCAACUCACACCUUACACGGCAUUUAGCUAUCCACUCUGGGCUGCAGCGCCCUUUAGGUGGGAAGCGCCUAGGACAGCAGAUGCCGGAGGAAGACCGCCCCUUCAGCUGCAGCUACUGCGGGAAGACUUUUGCCCGCAGUGCCCACCUGGCUCGGCAUCAGGAGACCCAUUCGGGGGAGCGACCCUACAAGUGCACCUACUGUGGUAAAGCCUUUGGGCGCAAUUCGCACCUGACCCGUCACCACAGCACCCACACUGGAGAGCGCCCCUAUGAAUGCGGGGUCUGCGGCAAAGCUUUCACCCGCAGUGCUCAUGUCACUCGCCACCAAGGAACUCACACCGGGGAGCGGCCUUUCCGCUGCACACGCUGCGGCAAGUGCUUCACCCGCAGUGCACAUCUCCAGCGCCACCAGGGCAUCCACAGUGGGGACAAGCCCUUCUCAUGCAGAGACUGUGGAAAGGGGUUCACCCGUUACGCGCACCUUGAGCGUCACCGUGCUACACAUUCGGGGGAGAAACCCUUCAAAUGUGCCAGCUGUGGGAAAGGGUUUGGGGCUGCCUCUCACCUUGUAAGACACCAGAAAACCCAUAAAGUUUAACAGGCUGGGAUUGAGCCUGCUACCAUCCAAACAAAUAUGAGAAACUGCCAGUAUGGAGUACCUGGACUUAUCCUUUGUCUUUAUAUCUCUUUUCUCCAUUCUAAAAUGCCAUUCUAAAAUCUAAUUUUAGAGGGUACUGAGUAUAACCCCUUCAACAAUAUUUAUACCUGGUCUGCAGAGAGUUGAGGUGAUGUGACCUGCUGCUUCAGUUCAGCAGCAGAUACAGCAAAGACAAUUUUAGAUGGCAAAACAGCAAACUAUUCUAAUUUUUUUCCUAGAUGGGAAAAGGAAAUCUCAGAGCUGCCCGUCACUCAUGGUUUUGUGUGUGCUUUUACCCAGUAUCAUAAAUAAAGGCUACAUUUUAACUCCACCUUUUGUGGUAAGAAAGAUGCCAGGCUUAUCAAUAGAAAUGUGUAAGAAAUGCACUUAUGACUCUGUGGGAGAUCUUUCAAAAUCCCUUGCUUGUCCUCCAGCAUCAUCUGCAUUGUGAAGUUAUGAUGUCAACAUAACAAGCUGCACCAACAGAAGCAUCUUUUUGGCAAUUCCCUUGGGAUCUACUUGGAGAAAUUCUUUCAUCAGCUUUAGAUUUUGAACCCUGUGGCCUAAUCAUAUUGCAGUUAUAACUACGUGCUGUGCCCACCCAAGAGAAUAGCACUGGAAUAUGGGGUUAUUGUGCCUGGGUCUUCCGCUCCUCAGUAGCCUGUAGCAGCAGCAGCAGAUCUUGUUGUGUCUGAAGUCAGCUCUUGGGACUUGUCUGUCUCUUCCAUGCUCCUCAAGACUUUGAGGCUUGCUUUACAAUUAUCUAACUAUAAGUGGAGCCUGCAACACCACGUUGCAGUGUAGAGUAUACCCAGACCAUCCAGCCAUACCGUCUUUCGGAGAUACCCCAUUUCCCCUUCCUUAAUUUGAGCUGUUCCCUUUAAUAGCAUUUUGGGGCUCCUUUGCAUGCUCUGCCAUUGAUCUUUUUAAUUUUAUUUUUUGGAGGGGAGGAAGUUACUCCCUUUGGAUUUUAUUUCUAAUUACUUUUCUCUGUUUUUUGCAAAUUUUGGUAUUUCCACAGCAUGCUGAUAAUCUUCCGCUGAUGUCUCAGUAGUCCCAUUUGGGUUGCGUAGCCGUCACGAAUGUGCAUGAGUUUGCUGGCAAUAUUGAUAGUUAUUUCUCUUCCUUAUUGUGCGGUAGAAUUUUUAUGGAAGAACUAAGGAACAGAUCAAGACUUUAUCCAAGUCACUUGCAAUGUGAAACUGUGCAGAUAUUUCAAGCCAUUUCCUCUGGAGUAUAUGAGUUCUUAUAUCUUACCUGCUGUCCUGCAUCUCCCAAUCCUCCAGCUUUAGUGAAUCUGAGCUUUUUUAUAUAUAUAAAUAAUAAUAGCUAGCACAGUUACACUGGUAAAUUUCACUGCCUAACAGUAGUGUGUUCUAAAUAUAGGUAAACAAAUUAGAUGCAAAUUCAACAAAUCAAAUUGUUGAAAAAGCUAUUUUAAUUUUUUUUUUUAUGUGAACUUGUUCACAUUUUUUUAAAUGGAGAAGGGGAGAUUUUAAGUGAUACUGUCUGCUGUCUCAGCAAAAAAGGAACUGUCAAAGAAAUGUAUGGGGACAGCUGGAAACUUUUUAGCAGAAAUUUAGAGUAUAACUUUGGAUAUCCGGCUGUCCUGAAAUGCAUCAGAAGAGUAGCAGAAGCUUUUUGGCUGGAAUUCCAGGUAGACUAUCUUUGCCCAGACUUUUCCUGCUUUGCCUCCUUCUGGGGGAACUUGCUGAGAUAACUUAUCACAGCAGCUUAUUGUCUGUUGCUCUUGUGAUUCUCAUCUGCCUCCUGAUCUGCGGUUAUUUGAGGGUCUGGGACUCCCAGACUGUUUAAAAGCUCUGAUCAUGCAAGAACAUGAUGGUUUUCUCGCAUCAAGGACAGCUACAGGGUACUCGCCAUGCCAGUGAUUGAGUUAGAUACGGCAUUUGGACUUGGAAACAGCAAUAGGCAGCUUGGCUCCGUUGUAUGGACUGGUUUUAACUUGGGCUAUUUGGAACCAGAGAAACUCAGCAGUAAGACUGCAGUUGUGCAGCAAAGCUGUCAUACAAGAUUUUCAAAAAGACAUCUUAAAAAAAAAGAAACCAACAAGUAAUAGAUGGGAAUAACCAGAACUAAGGACUAACUGCAUCUUGCAAUACACAAAUGAUUUUACUUGAUUGCCCAAUAAGCAGGUUUUUUUAGCCUAAGUAAAUUCUAUCUGAAGGAGCCUCAUAUGAAGGCACUUCAUAUGGCCAGCUACUCUUUCUGAAUUCAUUCUAGUUACCAGAUGGAGGUACCAUUUCCUGUAUAUUCCAGUACUACUUUGAUGAUCAUCUUGGUCCAGCAUUAAACAAAAAAAUCACAUGUCUUUGAAAAGAAUAUCAAGAAUUAUCUCUCUGAAUGCCAUUCCUCUAUGCUCUUGAAUAAUCUCAUAUUUUCAACUUCAAUUUUUUGUGUACACUGCCUGAAAUACACCAGAUCUUUAUACCAGAAUAUAAAGAGCAAGUGGCAAUAAGAGUUUUCUUUGCUUUCUAUGAAUUGAAAGCUGCAUUAAGCUGGACGUGUGUUUUUCCUUUCUCUCAAGUUGAUAGAAUGCUGUAGAAAUGCUGAACCCACAAACUCCAUUUGCACAGUAUUCUGUGCUGUAAAAAUGUGUGAUUGUUGGCUGAUUUUUAGCAUUCCCAGGAGAAUGCAAGUUGCCGAACUGUUCUUGAGAUAUCCUCCCUUAGCCUAAAUGGCCAUGGCAGCCUCAGGGAGUUCAUUCUCUGGGUUCAGAUUUUGUCUUUUUGAGUGGGAAUACCAACUUUAGUCUAAGACAUGGAAGGAUUUUCUCUUGCAUUUGGGGGAUCAGUUUCUUCUGCUAAAGUUGAGGCUGGUCAGUUUGAAGAGUACAAGUCAAGAAUUUCCAGUCUUGCUCCAGUAAAUGUCAACCAUAAAUUUUUCCAACUGGGAUUGAAAUUAUUUUUUGUUUGUUAUAGCUCCUAGUUAAGCUACUGUAAUAUGCCUGGAUUCACAUAUUGCAGUAAGUCAUUAUAGCUCUUCUGUUUAUUCGGGGGGGAUAAACAUGUUGCAUGAACCCAACCAUUGUGAUUUGUAAAGUAUGUGCAAAUCUGUUCAGGUAUUGUUCAGUAAACCAUGGUUAAACAAACCAUGGCUUAGUGCAGUCUGUGAGGCCAGCCAUUGUCUCCUGCAGAACAUUGGGGAGCUUUUGAGUGGAGUUUAAAGUUACUACACAUAUUCAACCUCUGAUCAUAGAGAGAUGACCCAGACUUUUUAUCCUCUCGUUCCCUCUAUUCUAGAUAAGCAUAGAAGGGUCCAAACCCAAGAUCCAACUGUGUCCACUUUAUGCUUUAGGACCAUGAAUCAGUAGGGCAACUUUGUGACAACUGUCUCAAAUCCUGUGGCUUUCAGUGGGGCUAAAAUCCUCUUCCCAAAGCAGAUACUCUUCAGACAUGUUGGAUUGCACUCCUGUAAUCCUCCAGCCUGCAAAGACUGUAUAGGCUAGAGGUUCCAACACAUCUGGAGGGAUAGCUGAACCAGAAAAACUUUUAAUAGUUUGGUUACUACUACUAUUCCAUUAAAUCCUUUUCCUGAUAACUCCUAGAGAGAUGUCCCCCAAAUUAUGGAUGUCUAUAUAUGUACCAUUUUAAAUGGCAGCUUUAGCAGUAAAAGAUGUCUGCUAAAAACAGUUGUUAAUACUGUAGUCAGCACAUUGAUGGCACAGAAGAAAAACACAGGUAGUCCUCACUUAACGACUGCAGUUGGGACUGGCAACUCCAUUGCAAACGCCCACCAGUUGUGAAGCGCCUGAAUCUCGAUCACCUGACCGUGGGGGCACUGCAGCAGUUUUAAGUGCGAGAACUGGUCAAAAAGUUACUUUUUCAGUGCCAUCGUAACUUUGAACAGUAGCUAAAUAGGGCAGUUGUUAAGCGAGGACUACUUGUACUGUGAUCCUGUUCCUGACCAUAAGUGAAAAUGCACCUAUAAAGAAGGAAAUCAAUGCUGUGCUCAUCUCUUUGAAGGCAGAAAGCAGCCACGUCAGAGAGUGAAAGCGCCCCAUGGCAUAAAUGAUUUUCUAAAAAGAAGCAGCCUGUUCAUUCCCUAGUUUGAUCUAAAAGGUACAUUAUCAGUUUCAGGAAGGAUCUGAUGAAUCUUUCUUACUGUACAAUUCAGUUGUGUAAUCCCAAAGGGAGAAAGAAAUGGGAGUGUUCGGAUUUGGCUGGCAUUGUGGAAAUGUUCAAAAGAAAGAAAGAAGACAUUAUUGAUCUGGUGCUUUAUUAAUCUGUCUCUUUUAAACAUUUUUCAUGUAUAUACUGUGUUUUUGCUGUUCACAAUAGUACAAAUGCCAGAUCUUGGAGAAACAGAAAAUAGUAUUACUCCAGAUAAUAGGGGUACAAUCCAGAGAAAACAAUCAGCCAAGGGCCAGCUGAUACCAAUGGCAAUUAAAAAUACAGAUUAGGGGGCUGGAGGGGAGAAACCACAGAAAGGAAUGGGUUGAGUUGGUCAUUUGAUUAUUUUUUCCCCCAAGAUAAAAAUAGAAAAUGAUUGAGGAAUUUGGGUGGGAAAACAGGGUUAUAAAAUAUUUUCUCUUUUGAAAUGAGUGAAAUAGAGAAUUUAUUCAGAGUGUGUAGUAUGAAUAUUUUUAUGUAAAAAAUGCACAAAAUUGGAGGGUGAUCAUUGCUAUGUAUAUAAUAGACCAGGAUAGGCAAACCAAUACCAGUGCCAGGUUGGCAGGGGCUGAUGGGAAUUGGUAGCCAAAACAUCUGGAGAACUGUUGUUAUCCAAAGGCAUUUCUGUACUUCGAGUGCUGCCAUCUUUUUGGUUGAAUUCAAGCUAUGAAUUGUGGUGAAUUGUUUGGUGGUAUGCAGUGGUUUUGAUUUGGAAAUAAUCAGAAACAAGUAUUCUGCAUACUGAAUUAUAACCCCAUUUCCUGGAUGUGUAUGAUAUGUUGAACCAUAAAAUAACCCAAUAGGCUGGGUUCACACAACACAUUUUUUUAAAAAAUAAUCCAAUUGACCUGGUUUAGCAUGUUGCAUUAAUGCAGCUCUCAGGCUUAUCUAGUCAGUGACUUUGUUCAUAUAAAAUACAUAGAAGUUAAAUUGCAAAUCAAAAGUGACAUUUUAAAAAAGGCUCUAUAUAGAUUUUUUUUUCAUAAUGUGUGACAGUGUUGUAAGAUUUUCAUUUUUAGGGAUAUUCUAUAGGUCAAGCUCCUGGCCUCCUGCAGUGCAGAACUGCCCCAUGGCUCCUUUUUAAUUUGGUUGUCCUUUAUAAAGUAACCCGGAGCAGAGUGAUAGAUGGCAGCAUUGCAACCGAAACUCUCCCCAUGACCCGGGUACGAUCCCAGCGGAAGCUGGAUUCUUGGGUAGCCAGCUCAGGUCGACUCAGCCCUCUAUCCUUCCGAGGUCGGUAAAAUGAGUACCCAGCUUGCUGGGGAAGGUAUGACUGGGGAAGGCAAUGGCAAACCACCCCGCUACAGUCUGCCAAGAAAACGUUGUGAAAGAGGCGUACCCCCAAAGGGUCAGACAUGACUUGGUGCUUGCACAGGGGACCCUUCACCUUUUUUUUCCGGCCAUCCUCAAAUUUGGGACAGGUUUUUUUCCCCUCAGUUUUUGUUACAUUUUAGUAUUUAGUGUACUAACAAGUUUCUUUAAAAGAAAUAUGUAUGUAUCUGGCGAUAGUAAUGCUAGUCCCUUCCCCAUGUUCUUCUUUUCUUUUUAAAUUGUUAAAGGAUGUACACAAUCUUCCUAGAAAACACAUAUUUAUUAUAGACUUUUUAAAAAGGAGAAAACGGUGCAAGGCAAUAUGUACCUGUGCAGCUCCCUCCCAGGUCUGUUAAGCAUUUUAUUCCAUGUGUGUCUCAUAGAAGCAGGCAAAGUCAUGUGAGGAAUCCUGGCAUCAUAGAGAAAGCCUCUGCAGGCAUUGGGACAAACUUGUUCUGAAGAAGGCCAUUUGGGACACACCUCGUCCUUAUGAAUCACUGUUUCUUAUUUUGUGGAUAUUAUUGCCUAUAAGCAACAUCGCAGUCCUUCAUCUCCCCAUUUCAGAGUGUUUCUUAUGAUAAAUCUUUUUAGCUCUGCAUCUCAUUUUAAAAAAUGCAGCAUUUUGGGGGGCAAAUUCAAGGCUGUUUUUUCUUAAGACAUGAACGUUCAUAGACUUGAUCUAUUGUCUCAUUAAAGCUUCUGCCAUAAUAUUGCAUAAAGGUUUAAAAUGCCACAAGUCUUUUGGUGGUUUUGGUUCUAAUGCUAAUUUGGCUAUCCCUUUGGAAGUUAUCCUUCUGUAGUCCUUUAUACACAGGACCUCAACUAAUUGGUCCCAUGCCUGCCUGCUUUUUCUUAGACCUUUCCACUGAAAUAUGGUAACUUCCAUGUGAACAUUCUAUAGGUUCUUGAGAACUUCAGUUAUACCAUAACUCUGAUAUUUAAGGUGCAAGUAGUUCCAAAUGCGGGACGUGACAUCUAAAAAAGUUCUCUGAUAACAGAUGAUGGGCAGGAAUCUCUGCUUACAUUAUUGGAAACCCAGUGUGAUUGGGGACCUCAAGUUAUUUGAGACCCAAUGAAUGAAUGGUCUGAUUAACAAACUGCAUUUCAUUAAUGCUUUCCAAAUACUUGGAAUUUGAUUUGUUUUUGGCUUAAUGUAUUUUGGCUUAAUUAACUGUGCUUUGCAACUUGUGGUUUAUUGCUGAGUGUUAUAUAUGUACCCAGCCAUUUUGGCUUAUUCAGCUUACCAUGAUUAAAAGAAACCAUAGACUUGCAUGACUGUACCUACCACUCCAGUCAAGUCACUUUACUGUUGGAGCUUUAAAGUAUUACAUAUACCAUAUUCAGCUUUCUCCAUCCUGGUGCCUUCUUGGUAUAUUGGAAUAUAAUUCCCACUAUCCCGAACCAGCAUAGUUAUCAGCCAUUUUGCUUGAAGGGGGUGAAAACAAUUUAGAGCAGGGUUUCUCAAACACCAUUCUGGGAGAGGUCACUAGGGGUUUCCUGGGAGAUCACAAUGUAUUUAAAAAAUUAUUUCAAAUUCGGGCAACUUCACAUUAAAGAGGCAAAUAUCAUUCUUUAUUUUUAGUUCAAGAACACUGUUAAUGCAUAUAUACAGGCCUACACAUGAAACAAAUAUAAUAAUUUUGUAACUUCUGGCCUAUAUUUGAGCCUGAAUGUGCAGGGCUUCCCCGAGUCCUGAAAAAUAUUUCAAGGGUUCCUCCAGGGUCAAAAAGUUGAGAAAGGCUGGUUUAGACACCGAGAGUUUUGAUCCUUGGCAACUUUAAGGUGUGUGGCCUUCAACUCCCAGAAUUCCCCAGCCAGCCAUGCUGGCCAUGUAACUGCUUAUUUGCUAGUUACUGGGCAUCUUUGCUGCAGUGAACAGUUUUAUUCUGUGGGAAAACAUAAGCCCUUGCACUGCAGGAGAAGCAGUCACAAGACAAACACUAAAAGAGAGACACAGCUAAUCCCUUCUGCAGCUUGUGAAAAUCUGCACAGAGCUGCAUUUAAGGCUUGCUCUAUGGAUGCAAUAGAGUAUGGUCAUGGAAUGGACUAUGGUGAUUCAGACUCUGGGUAGUACAAUCCAGUUGUCAAUAUUCCAUAUUAAAAAAGUUCACGCACAUAUGCAAACCUUUAUGCAUUUUAAAAAAGCCCAGCAGGAAAGAACUGUUAUCCCACCUCUUCCAGAUAUUUUUUCUAUUUGUAUGUACUUUUGAAAUGGCAAAUACCCAUCUGCAUUUUCUGUCCAUUCUGCCCUCUCCCCAACCAAGCCAGCUGGGUGACCUUGGGCAGUCACUCUCUCUUAGCCCAACUCACCUCACAGGGUGGUGGUUGUGGGGAAAAUAGGAGGAGGAGGAAGGAGUAUUAGGUAUGUUCCCCGCCUUGAGUUAUAUAUAAAAAUAAUAAAGGUGGGAUAAAAAUUAAAAAAUAAAAUAAAUAAAAUUUCCAUAUUCUGCUUUAGGUAUAAACCAGAUUUCAUUCUGCAGGUAUUUAACAGAUACUCUGUUGUCUUUAGCCGACAUUUAUCAAUUCUUUCACUUUACUGAUUCAUUUCCCAUAGUAGUUAUUCUCUUGAACUCAUAUUAUUCCGUGAGGACUAUAUUACAGGAAAAAGUGAAGUCAUGGGGCAAAAACCAUUUUGGCACAUUUUAGGCUUGGGAGAGCAUCUUGGGCUGGGAAGAGAAGUUUUGUUCAUAACAUAUGGUUUGACUGCUGUGAACGCACCCAAUUAUGGUACGAGUAAUCCGUUGUUAAUAAACAGUGUUUCUCAUGAUUGAUCCCAUCCUAAAUAUAAUUUCUCUCAAACCUGAUUAAAUUUUGAUGGUAUUGGUUUUCAAGAAAGCAUGUUUUAAGACUCUGGCUUUCUUUCAGCUGCCAGUUUAUAAUUUCAUUAUAGCUUUUGGUGUUGUCUGGCAAAUGGGGGUUGGUUGGGUUUUUUUUCUAAGGAAGAGUCAUGGAAAAUGUGUUUCAUUUCACAUAAGGUUUCAGCAAUGGGGACAGAUCAUUUUUGGGGGACAGUUUUUCCCCCUCUUCAAGAUGGAGCCAACUUGGGACUAAGUUCACUAGGCCAGACUUCCCCAAGCUGGUACCAGUUCAGUUAGAGGCUUGCCAGCACCAAGCUGGGAAAGGCCACAUGAAGGCACUCUCUCUGGCUCUCUUCAACACCAUAAAUUCAUUUUUGGCUUUCUAGGGUUUGAGGGGGAGGCUGGAGGGUAACUGAUUUGUUUUUGCUUGUAUAUUGCUUUGAGGUGGAAUUAGGCUGGGAUUUAUUUGGCAGAUUGUUUGGACUGUUCGUAUUUUCUCUUAUUUGUAAUAAUGCCAAUGGAUAUGAUUUAACAACAAUUGUAAAUGGUGUUACAAUAUAGCAAAACUUAUGUCCGGGUUCCCCAACACCUUAGUUUUCCUGGUAUUACUCUUGGUAUCUUUCUCUGUUUUCCUAUUAUACUAACAGUGUCUGUCUUUUCUCUGUAUGAAAUAAACACUUUUUGAGAGAGGU
Molecule: long non-coding RNA, 9970 nt
Organism: Candoia aspera
Lineage: Eukaryota; Metazoa; Chordata; Lepidosauria; Squamata; Candoiidae
Exons: 2
Source: RefSeq, a predicted model, not a curated record